AAAACAAUUCUGCGUUCGGGGGGAAUCGAACCCCCGUCGAAUGCUUGGAAGGCAUCCAUGCUGACCAUUACACCACGAACGCACGAAAGACUCUGCCUGAAUACGCGGACAUCUCGAAAAAACGCAGAAAAAGUUGCGUCAAACAUGC
Molecule: non-coding RNA, 148 nt
Organism: Caenorhabditis elegans
Lineage: Eukaryota; Metazoa; Nematoda; Chromadorea; Rhabditida; Rhabditidae
Source: Ensembl